AGAGUUUGAUCAUGGCUCAGGGUGAACGCUGGCGGCGUGGAUAAGGCAUGCAAGUCGAACGGUCCCGCAAAGCUCGCAAGAGCGACGUGGGAUAGUGGCAAACGAGUUAGUAACACGUAGGUAACUACCCAUUACUCGGGCAUAACUAGCCGAAAGGUUAGCUAAUUCCCGAUGGUCUCGCAAGAGUAAAGCUCCGGCGGUAAUGGAAGUACCUGCGGCCUAUCAGCUUGUUGGUGAGGUAACGGCUCACCAAGGCUCUGACGGGUAGGGGACGUGAGAGCGUGAUCCCCAACGAUGGAACUGCGACACGGUCCAUACUCCUACGGGAGGCAGCAGUCGAGAAUAUUGGACAAUGGGGGAAACCCUGAUCCAGCGACGCCGCGUGCGGGACGAAGGCCUUCGGGUCGUAAACCGCUUUUAUAGAGGAAGAAUCCCCCACCACUUUUUGUGAAUCUAGAAAAACAAUAGGUAUUUCGUGAAAAGUGGUGGGGGAUGACGGUACUCUAUGAAUAAGGGGGUGCUAAUUCUGUGCCAGCAGCCGCGGUAAAACAGAACCCUCAAGCGUUACCCGGAUUUAUUGGGCGUAAAGCGUCUGUAGCCGGUUUGGAAAGUCUAAGGUUAAAUACCAAGAGCUCAACUUUUGGAAUGCUUUAGAAACUUCUAGACUAGAGGGCAUUAGGGGUUACUGGAACUCUUGGAGGAGCGGUGAAAUGCGUUGAUCUCAAGAGGAACACCAAAAGCGAAGGCAUGUAACUGGGGUGACCCUGACGGUGAGAGACGAAAGCGUGGGGAGCAAAAAGGAUUAGAUACCCUUGUAGUCCACGCUGUAAACGAUGGAUACUAGCUAUGUGAAGUGUCGACCCUUCACGUGGCGAAGCUAACGCGUUAAGUAUCCCGCCUGGGAAGUACGGCCGCAAGGCUAAAACUCAAAGGAAUAGACGGGGACCCACACAAGCGGUGGAUCAUGCGGCUUAAUUCGAUAGCAACCGAGGAACCUUACCAGGGCUGGAAACAUUAGUGAACCUUCUAUGAAAGUGGAAGCUAGCGCAAGCACACUAAUUCAGGUGGUGCACGGCUGUCGUCAGCAUGUACCUUGAGGCGCUCCGUUAAAUCGGGCAACAUGCGCAACCCUUACCCUGUGUUUUACAUGUCACGGGGAACUGCCUGAGACAAUCAGGAGGAAGGCGAGGAUGACGCCAAGUCAGCGUGUCCCUUUGAUGUCCUGGGCCGCACGCAUGAUACAAUGGGAUAGACAGCGGGUCGCAAAGCAGCAAUGCGGAGCUAAUCCCUUAAACUAUCUCUCAGUUCGGAUCGAGGUCUGAAACCCGACCUCGUGAAGCCGGAAUCGCUAGUAAUCGCGUAUCAGCUAAGGCGCGAUGAAUAUGUUCCUGGGUCUUGUACACACCGCCCGUC
Molecule: ribosomal RNA, 1413 nt
Filed under: uncultured bacterium
Lineage: Bacteria
Description: bacterial SSU rRNA
Rfam family: Bacterial small subunit ribosomal RNA
Source: RNAcentral